GGGAGCAUAGCUCAGCCGGUUAGAGCGCUUGCCUUACAAGCAAGAGGUCACAGGUUCGAGUCCUGUUGUUCCCACCA
Molecule: transfer RNA, 77 nt
Filed under: Oscillospiraceae bacterium
Lineage: Bacteria; Bacillati; Bacillota; Clostridia; Eubacteriales; Oscillospiraceae
Description: tRNA-Val
Rfam family: tRNA
About the family: Transfer RNA (tRNA) molecules are approximately 80 nucleotides in length. Their secondary structure includes four short double-helical elements and three loops (D, anti-codon, and T loops). Further hydrogen bonds mediate the characteristic L-shaped molecular structure. tRNAs have two regions of fundamental functional importance: the anti-codon, which is responsible for specific mRNA codon recognition, and the 3' end, to which the tRNAs corresponding amino acid is attached (by aminoacyl-tRNA synthetases). tRNAs cope with the degeneracy of the genetic code in two manners: having more than one tRNA (with a specific anti-codon) for a particular amino acid; and 'wobble' base-pairing, i.e. permitting non-standard base-pairing at the 3rd anti-codon position.
Source: RNAcentral